This 497-nucleotide ribosomal RNA is filed under the name uncultured bacterium. RNAcentral describes it as "partial 16S ribosomal RNA". It matches the Rfam family "Bacterial small subunit ribosomal RNA", at positions 28 to 507 of the family's 1533-position model. The record is from RNAcentral.
GACGAACGCUGGCGGCGUGCCUAAUACAUGCAAGUUGAGCGCUGAAGGUUGGUACUUGUACCAACUGGAUGAGCAGCGAACGGGUGAGUAACGCGUGGGGAAUCUGCCUUUGAGCGGGGGACAACAUUUGGAAACGAAUGCUAAUACCGCAUAAAAACUUUAAACACAAGUUUUAAGUUUGAAAGAUGCAAUUGCAUCACUCAAAGAUGAUCCCGCGUUGUAUUAGCUAGUUGGUGAGGUAAAGGCUCACCAAGGCGAUGAUACAUAGCCGACCUGAGAGGGUGAUCGGCCACAUUGGGACUGAGACACGGCCCAAACUCCUACGGGAAGCAGCAGUAGGGAAUCUUCGGCAAUGGACGAAAGUCUGACCGAGCAACGCCGCGUGAGUGAAGAAGGUUUUCGGAUCGUAAAACUCUGUUGGUAGAGAAGAACGUUGGUGAGAGUGGAAAGCUCAUCAAGUGACGGUAACUACACAGAAAGGGACGGCUAACUACGUG